Molecule: long non-coding RNA, 1319 nt
Organism: Vigna angularis (adzuki bean)
Lineage: Eukaryota; Viridiplantae; Streptophyta; Magnoliopsida; Fabales; Fabaceae
Exons: 2
Source: RefSeq, a predicted model, not a curated record
CUAAAUUUGAUGACUUCUUGUAGCUGCACUCUUCACAUACAUAACUCCAUUUGUCUUCUAACCCUUGCUGAAACAAACUACGUCCAAACUCAAAAUGCUAACCGUCCACUUAUGUUUUUCUUCCUAUCAUCUACUCCUUUUCUUCAUGUUUCAACACCGUUCACUUCUCUCCCAAAAUUCACUUCUCCUUUUCUCAAACAAACCAAGUUCUCCUCUUCUUCCCUACGUGAAAAACACAUAAAAGUGUGGUUCCAUUUCCAUUCAACAAGAAAUAACUCAACACCUCCAAGACGGCGGUUUCACAAAUGAAAGGUGAAUCAACUCUACACAAGCUACUCUACUAUGAAAGCAGAAUAAAUGAACUUCUAUUUGGUUCUACACAAAGCCAAGAAUCAUCUUCUCAAAGGUUACAAGAUGCUAGAAGAGAUUGUAUAAAGAUGCAGAGAACUAAAUGAAAAGAUGCGAUCAUGAUUCAACAAGAGGAAUAAACAACAACCAAUUCAUUCAUCAUCAGAAAUAUUUUACAGAUCUCUUGAAAUAAAAAUACUCAAAGUAAAAGAACAAACAAGUGGUGCAUGCUUCCUCCUAGCCGUAUGCUUCUCCUUCCAGUCUCCACACCAGUUGCUUCCUCCUUCUUCUAUCCAUGCUGAGUGUACUCCUCUGUCUCUUCUCCCUGUGUGUAGACUAAUGGAAUUGGAAUAAUACCAAGAGCUCUAAAAAAAACAGAAGUUCCAGAGAGAUGGAUCCCUUCUCAAGGCCGUAUGCUCCCUCCUUUGUUGUCCUCUGCUUGGCUCAAGAAAAACAUUUUUCUCCUCCUCCCUAGAAUCCCAUGUACCAAGAUAUGUUUCUGAAGCAAACAUGCAGCCCCCUUCCAAUCAACAAGUGACAGCUGGACUUCCAAAUUCUUCUUGGACCAAACCAAUGCUUCUUGUGUUUGCUGCUGGCCGUGUAGCUCUCUUCUCCAUGUGUUGGUUCCCAUUUCUUAUUUCACUUUGAUUGUUGGAUGAAAGACCAAGCAAGGCUUGUGGAAUGGAUGUUAGUUUGUAACUUCAAUUGUUGUGCAGCUCUCUGGAAAACACGUUCCAAACCAAGAAGUGUGGUGGCUUCACUUCUAUUAGCAUUUGUUGACUUGCCAAUGCAAAACUUGUGGAAUGUGUGGUCCCUUAAUUAAUUUGAGUUUUGCCAAACCAUUCUCUCAGCAAAAACCGUGGAAGCUUGUAAUAUGGUGCCCCCCUUUUUCUACUUUGUUGUCUCCCAUUAAGAGAAACAAGCCUCCCAUUUUGUGAAAUUGCUGUGAGUAUUGGUUGUUCACGUGGCCA